This 45-nucleotide non-coding RNA is filed under the name Schistosoma mattheei. Lineage: Eukaryota; Metazoa; Platyhelminthes; Trematoda; Strigeidida; Schistosomatidae. The record is from RNAcentral.
AUCCAGCUGACAAGUCCCAAAUGGGACGAAACGUACGUCCUGGAU